GGCUGUUUGGUCUAGUGGUAUGAUUCUUCCUUCGGGUGGAAGACGGCCUGGGCUCGAUUCCCAAAGCAGCCC
Transfer RNA from Gregarina niphandrodes, 72 nucleotides. It matches the Rfam family "tRNA". Rfam says of the family: Transfer RNA (tRNA) molecules are approximately 80 nucleotides in length. Their secondary structure includes four short double-helical elements and three loops (D, anti-codon, and T loops). The record is from Rfam. Lineage: Eukaryota; Apicomplexa; Conoidasida; Eugregarinorida; Gregarinidae.